ACCCGCUGAACUUAAGCAUAUCAAUAGGCGGAGGAAAAGAAACUAACAAGGAUUCCCCCAGUAACUGCGAGUGAAGAGGGAAGAGCYCRUCAUUGGAAUCUGGCAGCUUUAUGCUGUCCGAGUUGUAGAUGAGAAGAGUAGGCCAUCUGGACYGCUGGACAUCCAAGUACAAUAGGCCGUCAGUGGGACAUCGCAGAGGGUGACAAUCCCGUCUUUGAUGUCCAAGUUCGAGUCCUAUACGAUGCCUAUCUCUAGAGAGUAGAGCAGUUUGGGAUUUGCUGCUUCAACAUGGGAGGUAGACUCCUUCCAAGGCUAAAUAUUGGCGAGAGACCGAUAGUGAACAAGUACCGUAAGGGAAAGAUGAAACAGUACUCUGUAAAGGGAGUCAAAAAGUCGUGAAAUUGUUGCGAGAGAACCGAUUCAAGUCAGCCUCAAGCUAGAGCCCCUCUUAGGGCCAUAGCCAAUAAUGCUUCUUGGACUAGCUUUGCCAGCGGUCUCGUCUUUUCUUAUUGACUGGACUUGGCUUCAUGCGCGAGCACCAACAAAGCCCAAGUCAACCCCUGCGUUUGCUUGACCGUUGUUGAUGAUCACCGAGUGGGAACGCGCUGCUGGCAGAAUGGCUUGCAAUCGACCCGUCUUGAAACACGGACCAAGGAGUCUAACAUGUAUGCGAGUAUAAGGGUGACAAAACCCGUAUGCGCAAUGAAAGUGACUAUCGUUUGCAUGGUUGUUGUGCGCCUGACGACUGGUACGAAAUCAGCUGCUCCUCAGACGGCCACUGCCCAGGUUCUAUGGUAUGAUCCCAUGAACAUGGAGACGGAGCAUACAUGCUAGGACCCGAAAGAUGGUGAACUAUGCCUGGACAGAGUGAAGCCAAGGGAAACCCUGGUGGAGGCUCGUAGCGAUUCUGACGUGCAAAUCGAUCGUCUGAUCUGGGUAUAGGGGCGAAAGACUAAUCGAACCAUCUCAUAGCUGGUUCCUGCCGAAGUUUCCCUCAGGA
This 1000-nucleotide ribosomal RNA is filed under the name Cantharellus guyanensis. RNAcentral's name for it is "eukaryotic LSU rRNA". It matches the Rfam family "Eukaryotic large subunit ribosomal RNA", at positions 23 to 978 of the family's 3401-position model. The record is from RNAcentral. Lineage: Eukaryota; Fungi; Basidiomycota; Agaricomycetes; Cantharellales; Hydnaceae.